Bradysia coprophila is the source of this 689-nucleotide long non-coding RNA. NCBI's taxonomy places the organism in Eukaryota, Metazoa, Arthropoda, Insecta, Diptera, Sciaridae. The record is from RefSeq and is a predicted model, not a curated record.
AAUGCACUCGCACUGUGUGUUAGUCUCGUUUUUAUAUCACUUUUUCUUCGCUUUAUUUGAUUCGAAUAUUAUUUCGGGAUAAAAUGUAAAACGACGAUUUAUCUUCGAUGUCAAAUCACCAGACACAUACAAAGAGGCAAAGAGAUAUGAGAUGUGUCAGAAAAUAAGCACCACAUUAUAUGUUGUCAUUUGUUUUAUAAAAACAGAGGAACACCACCAAAAAGACACAAAUCUCUCUGUUCAUUGAAUUAACGAUUUAUGCAGGCCAUAUUGAAUCAAUUAAAAUGUGUCCAACAAAACAUACUCCGUGGAUAAUAGCUUCGAAACCUCUUAAUGGCAACAAAAAAGAACUUUGUGGCAACGCUGCUUUCAGUGGAUAUGGUAAAAAUAGACUUUCCAAAUAUAUUUCAGCGAGACCUUAAAUAAUUUGGAAAAUAUUUUUAUGGGAAUUUAUAUCGGCAGCUUGGUGUGCGGUUGGACCAUUCACAUUUUUUGGUGCAGACAUGCCUCUUAGGCUUGGGUUUGGUAAAUGUAAAUAAACAAAACUCCAAACACAACACAAAUAAAGAGACGAGAAAUAUCCUAAAAAUCUCUUCCUCAAUCGACUGUACAGCUUAGUGAAAAUGUGGUAUCAUUUUAGAGAUAAAGUUUUUUUUUUCGUCGUGUAUAAGAAUAAAUAAAAUCAUUUG